CUGGAGACUAAGAAAACAGAGUCCUUGAAGUCAAGCUGACUCUGCAUUCAGCCUCCUAUAUGAAAAGGUAAGAUAGAACAGGUCUUGUUUACAAAAUAAAUCCAAGACCUACUUAUCUACCAACAGCA
Fukomys damarensis (Damara mole-rat) is the source of this 128-nucleotide non-coding RNA. The record is from Ensembl. Lineage: Eukaryota; Metazoa; Chordata; Mammalia; Rodentia; Bathyergidae.